UACGUAGGUGGCAAGCGUUGUCCGGAAUUAUUGGGCGUAAAGCGCGCGCAGGCGGUCCUUUAAGUCUGAUGUGAAAGCCCCGGGCUUAACCUGGGAACUGCGAUGGAAACUAGCGAGCUGGAGUGUGGCAGAGGGGGGUGGAAUUCCGCGUGUAGCAGUGAAAUGCGUAGAGAUGCGGAGGAACACCGAUGGCGAAGGCAGCCCCCUGGGCUAACACUGACGCUCAGGCACGAAAGCGUGGGGAGCAAACAGG
This 253-nucleotide ribosomal RNA is filed under the name uncultured bacterium. Its description in RNAcentral is "partial 16S ribosomal RNA". It matches the Rfam family "Bacterial small subunit ribosomal RNA", at positions 524 to 776 of the family's 1533-position model. The record is from RNAcentral.